RNAcentral lists this ribosomal RNA (253 nucleotides) under uncultured bacterium. Its description in RNAcentral is "partial 16S ribosomal RNA". It matches the Rfam family "Bacterial small subunit ribosomal RNA", at positions 524 to 776 of the family's 1533-position model. The record is from RNAcentral.
UACGUAGGGGGCAAGCGUUGUCCGGAAUCAUUGGGCGUAAAGCGCGUGUAGGCGGUUCGAUAAGUCUGCUGUGAAAGUCCAGGGCUCAACCCUGGGAUGCCGGUGGAUACUGUCGGACUAGAGUACGGAAGAGGCGAGUGGAAUUCCCGGUGUAGCGGUGAAAUGCGCAGAUAUCGGGAGGAACACCAAUUGCGAAGGCAGCUCGCUGGGACGGUACUGACGCUGAGACGCGAAAGCGUGGGGAGCGAACAGG